AAAUUGGUGGUUCAGUGGUAGAAUUCUUGCCUUCCAUGCAGGAGACACGAGUUCAAUUCCUGGCCAAUCCA
This 71-nucleotide transfer RNA is filed under the name Loxodonta africana (African savanna elephant). It matches the Rfam family "tRNA". Rfam says of the family: Transfer RNA (tRNA) molecules are approximately 80 nucleotides in length. Their secondary structure includes four short double-helical elements and three loops (D, anti-codon, and T loops). Further hydrogen bonds mediate the characteristic L-shaped molecular structure. tRNAs have two regions of fundamental functional importance: the anti-codon, which is responsible for specific mRNA codon recognition, and the 3' end, to which the tRNAs corresponding amino acid is attached (by aminoacyl-tRNA synthetases). tRNAs cope with the degeneracy of the genetic code in two manners: having more than one tRNA (with a specific anti-codon) for a particular amino acid; and 'wobble' base-pairing, i.e. permitting non-standard base-pairing at the 3rd anti-codon position. The record is from Rfam by way of RNAcentral. Lineage: Eukaryota; Metazoa; Chordata; Mammalia; Proboscidea; Elephantidae.